This 254-nucleotide ribosomal RNA is filed under the name uncultured bacterium. Its description in RNAcentral is "partial 16S ribosomal RNA". It matches the Rfam family "Bacterial small subunit ribosomal RNA", at positions 524 to 776 of the family's 1533-position model. The record is from RNAcentral.
UACGGGGGGAGCAAGCGUUGUUCGGAUUUACUGGGCGUAAAGGGCGCGUAGGCGGUCAGCACAAGUCAGUUGUGAAAUCUCCGGGCUUAACUCGGAAAGGUCAACUGAUACUGUGCGACUAGAGUGCGGAAGGGGCAACUGGAAUUCUCGGUGUAGCGGUGAAAUGCGUAGAUAUCAGGAGGAACACCAAUGGCGAAGGCAGCACUCUGGGACGUGACUGACGCUGAGACGCGAAAGCGUGGGGAGCAAACAGG